AGAUUGAACGCUGGCGGCAUGCCUAACACAUGCAAGUCGAACGGGAGUAGCAAUACUCUAGUGGCGGACGGGUGAGGAAUACGUAGGAAUUUGCCCUUAAGUGGGGGAUAACCCGGGGAAACCCGGAUUAAUACCGCGAUGACCUCGAAAGAGCAAAGUGGGGGAUCGCAAGACCUCACGCUUUUGGAGAAGCCUACGUCGGAUUAGCUAGUUGGUGAGGUAAUGGCUCACCAAGGCGACGAUCCGUAACUGGUCUGAGAGGAUGAUCAGUCACACCGGAACUGAGACACGGUCCGGACUCCUACGGGA
RNAcentral lists this ribosomal RNA (309 nucleotides) under uncultured soil bacterium. Its description in RNAcentral is "bacterial SSU rRNA". It matches the Rfam family "Bacterial small subunit ribosomal RNA", at positions 26 to 346 of the family's 1533-position model. The record is from RNAcentral.